Ribosomal RNA from Gossypium raimondii (Peruvian cotton), 119 nucleotides. Lineage: Eukaryota; Viridiplantae; Streptophyta; Magnoliopsida; Malvales; Malvaceae. The record is from Rfam.
GGGUGCGAUCAAACCAGCAGUAAUGCACCGGAUCCCAUUAGAACUUCGUAGCUAAGCGUGCUUGGGCGAGAGUAGUACUAGGAUGGGUGACCUCCUGGGAAGUCCUCGUGUUGUACCCC